CGUGCAUACGACGAAUCACGUGGGCAUCUUGUUAAAAUGCAGAGUUUUGAGUCGAGGGUCUGGGGAGGGCUGAGAUUGUGCACUUGUAAGGAGAUGCCAGGUGGUGCUAAUUCUGCUGCACUGGACACCACACUUAGAGUGGCGAGGUCACUAAAUAAUAGGAGCGAAAGGAUGGUGAGAACACCGACAUCAGUGAGAAGGAGGCUGGCUGCAGAGACCAUGAAAAUGAAAUCCAUGCAUGGAAUGCAACCUUGCUGA
Pan paniscus (pygmy chimpanzee) is the source of this 258-nucleotide long non-coding RNA. The record is from Ensembl. NCBI's taxonomy places the organism in Eukaryota, Metazoa, Chordata, Mammalia, Primates, Hominidae.